Alosa alosa (allis shad) is the source of this 1417-nucleotide RNA transcript. RefSeq lists it as uncharacterized. Lineage: Eukaryota; Metazoa; Chordata; Actinopteri; Clupeiformes; Clupeidae. The record is from RefSeq and is a predicted model, not a curated record. The transcript has 5 exons.
CUCUCACUCUCUUCUAGGCUCUCCCACUCUAAACCUCUCCCCUCUGGGACCCGUGGUCCUGCUGUCUCCUCCCCUCUUCUUUCCACUCCUCGACGCUCCCCUCGCAUGCGGCUACUACUGGCCUGCCCCACAUCGGCAAGAUCGCCUGACAAGGCAGAGGGGAAAGCUGUUGCUCUCUCUCAGCUAACAACGACCGUUACCAGGGCCAACUGUCGCCACGCACCACGACCUGUGACCUCUGGCUCGUGGAAACGUCCACACAUCUUGACGACGGCAGACCAAGACCAACUAGAAUAAUGGGCAACCUCGUAUGUAGUGCAAAACGAAAAAAGGUAUCAGAUGUCAAUAAUGAAUCUGAUGAAGAUAACAGCACAAAUGCAGCACAAGGUGGACAAGCACAAAUCCAGCACAAGGUGGACAAAGACACAGGAAGAAAAUCGGAUUGAGAUAGGCAUCUCAUUUACAAGUGAGCCCUGGCCAAGAAUGGGCCAAAGGAGGAAGUCCUGUAUGCAACAAUUGACCAUGGCAACGGCAAGAAAGCAGGAAAUAUGGUGCAGGUAGUGGAGGGAGAUGACUGUGACUAUGCGAUCGUCAAAAUCCCCUCUGAGGACAAGCUGUCAAUCAGAGAGGACUGCUCUGAUGACUAUGUGCUCAUGGGCUGAGUCUACGGAGGCCUAUUAGGCACAUGACUGGAGAAUGGCUGAACAAGGUUGCACAUGUUACUGCUGACAAACAUUGAUCACCAAUAGACUUUUCUCACACACCAGGUAUACAGAGAGGGUUGGUUUCAGUGUUUGCUCUCUUUCUCUCUCUCUCUCUCUCUCUCUCCAUCACACACACACACACACACAGAUACGUCCAUACUACAUGGAAUACUGAGAACUAUGCAUUUGCUGUUCACAUGCUACAGUAUAUAUAUAUAUAUAUACUUGUGGUGUGCGGUGACUUUUUUUCUGAGAAACAAUAGCUAUCUAUACAUUUACUGUAGACUACUUUGUUUAUGAAAGUAUUGAAGCAUUUGUUAUACCUUUUGUAUGUAUGUAUGAGAAUUUUGCAUUUAUCCUCUUUAAUUUAUUCACAUCUAAAAGUUAGACUUUUUGAUGUUUAGAUUUCUAUAUUGUCUUCAUCAUUAUGUUGGUUUUGCUCUGUUUGUCUUGAGUGUGUAUUUGUUUUGGAAACUGACAUGUAGACUAAUAGCAGCAUGUGAGUCCACACAAAAUCUACUGCAAGGAAUGACCUAUCCAAGAACGAGGACUAUUGACAAGUCUAAGCUAACUCAAGAGUUACACCCAUGCUACACCGGGUCCACAACUGAACCGCUCCGUUUGUGUAGUGAAAAGAUAGUUUUAGUAGCCCACAUUAAAAUGUAGGGUCUGGGGACUCACCGUUGGCAGUGCUCAGUCCGAGGGGCGGGAUA